Molecule: ribosomal RNA, 436 nt
Filed under: uncultured bacterium
Lineage: Bacteria
Description: bacterial SSU rRNA
Rfam family: Bacterial small subunit ribosomal RNA
Source: RNAcentral
AUGGGAACGCGAAGAACCUUACCUAGACUUGACAUCUCCUGAAUUACUCUGUAAUAGAGGAAGCCCUUCGGGGCAGGAAGACAGGUGGUGCAUGGUUGUCGUCAGCUCGUGUCGUGAGAUGUUGGGUUAAGUCCCGCAACGAGCGCAACCCUUAUUGUUAGUUGCUACCAUUAAGUUGAGCACUCUAGUGAGACUGCCCGGGUUAACCGGGAGGAAGGCGGGGAUGACGUCAAAUCAUCAUGCCCCUUAUGUCUAGGGCUACACACGUGCUACAAUGGUGAGAACAACGGGAUGCAAUACCGCGAGGUGGAGCAAAACUUCAAAACUCAUCUCAGUUCGGAUUGUAGGCUGAAACUCGCCUACAUGAAGUUGGAGUUGCUAGUAAUCGCGAAUCAGAAUGUCGCGGUGAAUACGUUCCCGGGUCUUGUACACACCG